CAAACCUCAAAAACUAGUCACCGGCCAAGAGGUGGACUGCGAUCGCAACUCGAAUCUACAAGCUCGAUGUACGACUGAAUGAGACCUCGGACAAUGAUUCCAAUAAAUAACCAGUAUAAAUAGUUAUUUGAACUAAAUUAGAAAACUCAAAAGUCACGGGAAAAGGGAUCGAAAUGAGCUUUUGGACUCUUACUAUUUCCAGCUUUUACUUGUUUUAUUUUCUUUACUGUUGUCGAUUUGUCUUUCAUUUUGGGCUGAAGGUCGUCAGCUGGUGGAGGUAUGGUUGCCGUUGAUUUUUGCUGCUUUGGUUUCAAAUUCUGGAGAUAUUUUCCGUUGAAUAAGAAGAAACAAUGAAUGUUGUAAUUGAAAGCAGAUGAGCUCAAGGGUCGUUGGUUUUGGUCUGGUUGUUGGCUAAAGAAGGAGAAUGGGGGUUUUCCAUUUGGGUUGCUGCUUGGGUUGAAGAAGAGGAGAUCGGCGUUGCCAGUUGUUGGAGAAGGGAGGGCGACAGUCCUAGGGUGGUCCGGCGGCUGAAGUUGUAGUAUUUUCCGGCGGGUCUGGUCUCUUGGGGUUCUUUUGGUGAUGGGACUGCGUUGUGGUGUUGUUGAUAUAUCAAGGGUUCCAAAAUGAGGUCUGUUCAGAUGGAGUGAAGGGAAAGGUGGUGGCGUCGUGGUGGUUCAGGCAAGUUUUUUGGUUAUGCAUUCUAGGGUUUGUGUUGUUGUUGGUUAAAGAAG
Molecule: long non-coding RNA, 731 nt
Filed under: Nicotiana benthamiana
Lineage: Eukaryota; Viridiplantae; Streptophyta; Magnoliopsida; Solanales; Solanaceae
Description: long non-coding RNA (NBEN_LNC027618)
Source: RNAcentral